This is a long non-coding RNA of Parus major (Great Tit), 3605 nucleotides long. RefSeq lists it as uncharacterized. The record is from RefSeq and is a predicted model, not a curated record. Lineage: Eukaryota; Metazoa; Chordata; Aves; Passeriformes; Paridae. The transcript is spliced from 2 exons.
AAUGAAAUUGUGAAGAGUGCCUGAAGGCACCUUCAGAAACCUUUACAGGUUUGGAAAUCCAGAGCCAUAAUUUGAACAUAAGCUACUAUGUUCAAAAUGUAUAGAAGAAUAAUGCUCUGUAACUCUGAUCAGUUUAGGUUUUGAUCAAGAUGUGCUUUGGACCUUUAGCAGAGGUUGGAAAUGUAUUUCCUUUUGUUGAUUUUAAGCCUGCUGCUUGAUAACCUGAUUGAUUGCUGCCUAUUUCCUCUGUAUCAAGGAAAAGAGAGUAAUCAACCCCUGUUUAUUUUCCCUGUGUCUUUCAUGAUUUAGUAGAUCUUCAUUACAUGUCCUGUGCUGUCUUGAUCUCUUGCAGUUCUACUAUUGCCUUCAGGGAAAAAAAAAAUCUCUGAAUAUACCCACAGAUGAAUGCAGUGAGAAAACAUUUUCUUCUUUAAAUAAUUUCUGAUAUUUCAUACAGAGUCUCCAGAGUAGCAUGUUGAUAUUUUCCCAGUGAUACUGACAUCUGUUUUCUACAUGGUAAUGACUGUUUUAGAGCCUACUACAGGUACAGUUAGAGUAAUUUCUCCAUAGUGCACUACUUUUAAUGUCCUAAUCCAGCUGUAGCAUGAAAAUGUUACAUAAUCAAAACUCUAAUGCCUAUGCGAGUUCAGAAAAAAAAAAAAGUCUAAGUCCACAAUAAGGCAUGGCUUUGUUUUCUUAGUUUUAAUUGUCAAUAUGUCAUAACUCUGAUUAUCCAUUUAUGAGUCAGCUAUUAUAGAAUACUGUAUGUGUGUCCUAGCUUAUCUCCUAGGACACACAUACAAGACACUGUUCAGAAACACUUAAAUAUGUUGCAUCUUUUGUUUUGCUGUAGUAGUAUUAGAACUGUGUGAACACUUAGAGAAAUUCCCUGCCUACUCAUGGGUUUUUUGCUGAUCUUUUUUCCCUAUAAUUUUUUUUGGUGAAUUUUCUGCCAACAGUUUAAUAAAUGGCUUUGAGAAGCUCAUGAUCUACAGUAGAUAGCUAUUGAUUUGUAGGCUGUUGCAACUUCAUGAGCAAAGAUAGGAUUUAAAUAUGUGUUGUGUGAAUUAUGCAAACUGUGCAAUCAAGCUACACAUUGGCUCUUCAUUUAGGACUGGCUCAAGCACAAUAGAUUCCUAAUUGCAAAAUAUAUGUUGCUAAUUUAAUUGCUUAAUGCACCCAUUAACCACAAGAGAAACAUGGGGUUUAAAUUGUCUCCUGACAAAAUGUACACCUGAGAGAAAUGCUGCCUUUGAUUGGAAAUAUUUGAGUGUUUUUAAAAAGGAUUCUCUUAGGACAUGGCUUUGUUGCUGAACCAUGCUUUCCUUCAAAGGUAAAUGCAUGGUUUUGGGUGGAGGGGGCAAAAGAUCCAUUUGUAGCUAUCAGCAAAAUUAAAUUCCUUUCUUUCCAGCCUUGCCCCACCUUAUUCAUUCUGUUACCAUUUCUCUCCAUGUUUUGAGCCCUAAAUAUAGAGGAAUUAGGAUAACUAUACCCAGAGUCUGCUUUUGUGUAGUUCUGCACAGACAAAAGAGUCACUAAUCAGAGGACUGAAAUAGUUAGCUCUAUCACUGAGGCUGUGUGCUGCACACUUCAUUGCUGGCAGGUUGAGCUCUGUGUACCACUAACCCUGCAUGUGCGAGAACUCACUAGGCUUUGUUUCAAAAAUUAUUGAAAUGACCUUGCAAGUAGCCAAUUAAUUCUAUUUAAAUACUUGCUAAUGGCCAGAGAACAAGCACAGUACAAACUAAAGCUAAAUCUUCAAACGCUGUUUUGCCAAUAAUUAGACUCAGGGCCUGCAAGCAAUGACUUGCUAUUACAGUUUUCCUGAAAGCCCUGACAUUUUUCCCCUGACAAAAGUGGUAUUGAGUACGGGGCUGUCAUGAGGGAGCUGCAGUUGCAUUCAUUGACAGUAUGCCCGAGGGUAAGAGACUUGCAUAUACAAGGUGAAGAAAAUACUUAAUUUACUUGUUAAAUCAGUUCCCUCUGCUGUUUUCCAUUAGCAAAAGUCUUUGCCAGCUGUGACUGUAGAUCCUGCUAAAGCUUCAUGGAAACAGUUUCUUUUUGUUCCUUUUUUCGCAGGUUGGAUUUUAGCUCUUUUGUGUUGCAGAAAUUUUGAUUAGAGAUUUUUGAACAAGUGAAGGAAUGAGCUGCUCUCUCCAGGGCUGCCUGGGUGAGCAGAGCUGAUCUGAGGAGCUCAGGUGACAGCAAUGUGCUACUCUUUUAGGAACCCAAACAACCCAGUGGUGCUUUGUCUGUCAGUGUAUAAAAUCUGCUUGGAAGUAAAAAGUAAAGCAUUUUAUACCUGCCUUUGAAAGGAGGACGUAUGCCUGUAGUUCUGGUUUGAUACGGUUCUGUAAGUAGCACAUAUCUUUCUAAAAGGCUUUGUGGAUGGGUAAAGUGCUUUUCAUGUAAAAAAUUUAUUAUUUGUAGCAGAAGACUUUCUUUUUCUAGUCUUUGUCUUACCAUAUGUUUGCACUUUGCUUGAACAUUGUGGUUUGUGGUCAAUACAGACAUACUACAGGUUUAAUUACAUGUAUAAUCUAAGUGCCUAGACUGUGAAGAACAUUUAUGAAAAUAUGAUGCUAUCCUAACAGAAAAACAGAAGAUCUAUAAAUUCUCAAAUGAAACAUAAUUUCUAGUCUUUUUUCACUCUACAUUUAUGUCACUACUUGAUUUGUAAAGUUAGAAAAAUGUAACCAAAAGUUUGGUUCUUAUCCUUCAUACUUACAAGCCAAAAUUAUUUGAGCAAAGCCAAACCCUCUGAAAUGGAUUACAUGGCAAAUUUGCUCAGACAUAGCUGCUAGGUUUUCAAACCAUUGGACAAGAGUCUUCAUUUCUAAGACUUUUUCAUUGUUCCACUAUGGACGAGCAAACCUGUAUGUAGGAUACUCUUUUUAUUCUCUAGAACCAGAUGAUCUGGAAGGAAGUCUGAAAAGCAAAAAAAUUAUGCAGAUGAGAAGAUUUUGCCUCUGCAUGUCUUAGUCUGGUUUAACAGUCAUUGUUUCAAAUAUGCUCAAGAAUAAAGAUUCCCUUGUCUUCGUAUCUCAUUGUACAGGAAGAUAUGAAAUCUCAAGAUAUGUCAGUCUGGUAUCUCUUCUGUGCUUCUGCAGCCUAGAUUUGAUUUGCUCAGGACUAAUGGGAGGCCUUCUAACAAGAGGAUUAUUCAUGUGGAAGUUCCUGCUGCUUUCUGUCUAGCAGACAUGUGCCAGGCAAUUCCUACGGCUUGGUGUAAUCUUUUUUCUACUAACUUUAUUUAACUUAGCAAAGCAUGCCCUGUAUUUGAUCUAGCUCAGCCAUCCACUUGGAUGUCUCACACAGCUGAGUUGUCUGAACUGAAAAGGAAUGAAAAGCACCCAGCUGACAUUGGCACUGCUCAGUGAGAAGGGAAGAGCUCCACUGUGUCAGGAAAACAAACCAUCUAGUGCUUUUUGAUCUUCAUCUGCAAAUAGUUUGUAUGGUCAGAUUUCCCAUGCCUGCUCUUUAGAACCUGUGAUCAUCAUACUCUUAUCCCAACUGUUACAGUGCAAUUUCCCCCUCUGAGUUCUAGAUAUAAGUUUGAGUUAGAAAACAAGUAAUGUCUUAAUAAAGGAAUUUUCUUGAUGUGG